This 117-nucleotide ribosomal RNA is filed under the name Daucus carota subsp. sativus. The record is from RNAcentral. Lineage: Eukaryota; Viridiplantae; Streptophyta; Magnoliopsida; Apiales; Apiaceae.
GGUGCGAUCAUACCAGCACUAAUGCACCGGAUCCCAUCAGAACUCCGAAGUUAAGCGUGCUUGGGCGAGAGUAGUACUAGGAUGGGUGACCCCCUGGGAAGUCCUCGUGUUGCACCC